RNAcentral lists this ribosomal RNA (504 nucleotides) under uncultured bacterium. RNAcentral's name for it is "partial 16S ribosomal RNA". It matches the Rfam family "Bacterial small subunit ribosomal RNA", at positions 29 to 523 of the family's 1533-position model. The record is from RNAcentral.
AUUGAACGCUGGCGGCAUGCCUUACACAUGCAAGUCGAACGGCAGCAUGGAGAGCUUGCUCUCUGAUGGCGAGUGGCGAACGGGUGAGUAAAGCAUCGGAACGUACCGUGUAGUGGGGGAUAACGUAGCGAAAGUUACGCUAAUACCGCAUACGCACUGAGGUGGAAAGCAGGGGAUCGUAAGACCUUGCGCUAGACGAGAGGCCGAUGUCAGAUUAGCUAGUUGGUAGGGUAAAGGCCAACCAAGGCGACGAUCUGGGGCGGGUCUGAGAGGAUGAUCCGCCACACUGGGACUGAGACACGGCCCAGACUCCUACGGGAGGCAGCAGUGGGGAAUUUUGGACAAUGGGGGCAACCCUGACCCAGCCAUGCCGCGUGAGUGAAGAAGGCCUUCGGGUUGUAAAGCUCUUUCGGCCGGGAAGAAAUCGCACAGGCUAAUACCCUGUGUGGAUGACGGUACCGGCAUAAGAAGCACCGGCUAACUACGUGCCAGCAGCCGCCGUAA